RNAcentral lists this long non-coding RNA (1485 nucleotides) under Pan troglodytes (chimpanzee). Its description in RNAcentral is "long non-coding RNA NONPTRT004940". Lineage: Eukaryota; Metazoa; Chordata; Mammalia; Primates; Hominidae. The record is from RNAcentral.
CUCCACUGCAAGCUUAAGAGACUGGUUUUAUUUCAAGAAUAACUAAGGGUAUAUUAACACGUGUAUCUCAAAGUAACACUGAAUUAUUGAAGACAUACUGUUCCAAUAGUCAAACAGUUGACAGAGAGGGGACAGGAACCAAUGUACUGGAAAAACACACUUGUAUUAUAUGUAAAAAUCGAUGGCCAAUAUUUCUCUUAUUAAGAGAAAAAUACCCAACAAAUUAAAAGGUGAAAAGCUGUGCUCAAAUAAAAAAAAAAAAAAAACCCAAAACCUUGCAUGCACAAGCUAAGCUCAGACCCUUAAAAACCAGAUAGAAAUUGACAAAGUCAAACAAAGGAGAAAAACUGGCUGAACUUCUCAAACUAAAUUAUAUCAAAUAUAUGUGCAUUUUAGCAAAAUAAACCACUAAACUAUACUUUGUAGACAUAUUCAUUACAUUUAUUUUAAUAACUACUUCAUUAUAGGCUGACUGGCUUUCCUGUGUGGAUAAAGUGUGAUCUGAAAGCAGCGCUGACCGAAUGUAAAUAAAGCAAACGUUCCCAGCCAUUUUCGGCAUGAACAUGGACUCCAGCGUUUAAUGCAGACCCAAAGCCACACAUUUUUGGGGAGCAGGUUUUACUUGCAGUAGAUUCUUUUCAUUAAAGAUCACAAAAAUACAAUACAAUGUGACAAGCCCAGUUUAAGAAUUGCAUGCAGUAGCUCAUAUUAACACAAACAGCUCCCCACGAAGGCCGACGAGCUAAAUCCGGUGUCAACAGGGUUCAUUGCAGGAGUAGAAUAAUCCGGUACAAGGAACGAGAACAGAUUGAAACCAGAAACAAAGCCAUGCCUGACAGUCACUCAAGGUCAAUCCGAUCAUUUCCAUGACCAAUUUACCCAUGUGAACAAUUCAAAAUGACGGUGGAAGAGCUGAGCACCCUGUACUCACACACGAUGCCCACAGCUUGGCAAAAGGUACACAAACACUUGUUUGAAAAGAAUGACUGAAACGUCUACUUUCAAACAACAAUGGACACUUUUAAAGGGAAUGCUGACAUUUAACUUUACAAAAUGAAAUUUAAAAUGUUAAGUAGUACUCUGGGGAAGAAUAUGCCUGAAGCGUAACCAUGAUUUCCCAGUGGUAUAAUUAAACAGAGCUCUAAUUUAAAAACUCUUCCUGGGCUGGGCGCCGUGGCUCACACCCAUUAAUUCUAGCACUUUGGGAGGCCGAGGUGUGAGUCACCGUACGCGACACAAACUAUUUGGAACCAGCAGGGCACCUUUAUGAAAGGUGAAACAGUAGCUCUUGUAACCUUCCGAACACUAACAGUACCCCGCCCCGCCACACAGCUAUGCCUAGUUUCCAGAAACUCUAAGCAAAAGAAAGAACCAGAACAAAAACCAGGGGCUCUCAGACAUCCCCAAGGUCCCCGCUUCUUCGUUUCUCUCCAUCCCUUUGUGCACUUCCCCUCCCCACCCUUUUAGCUCCUCACACAUCUUCCC